Non-coding RNA from Pelodiscus sinensis (Chinese soft-shelled turtle), 712 nucleotides. The record is from RefSeq and is a predicted model, not a curated record. NCBI's taxonomy places the organism in Eukaryota, Metazoa, Chordata, Testudines, Trionychidae.
AGAAGGGGAAGGAUAAUCCUUUUGGGGAUGAUGUAGUAUCCUGGAAAUUCAGGGCUGUUUCACCUUCUUGCUGAUCUGUUGCAAGGAGACAACUGAAGAUUGUGGAGCUAAGUUCUGGAGACAAAGUUUCUUCCACAAGGCCUGGUGGGGAGGAGGUUGGCUUUUUAAAAUCACCUCUCCUACAAUAGCUACUGAUUUACUGCACUUGUCUCCUGCCUACUCCAGCUCUUCUGGAUCCUUCAUGACUGCAAAGACCCAGGAAUAUUGCCUAAUGAAGUUGGUGAAUGGUAACAGACUGGCAGGGAAUCGGUUUCCUAUGGUGGAAUAUCUCUUACUAUCAGUAGCAGCUCAGGAGUGGCACCAAGGAAGCAAAUGGAGCUAUGAAAACUUGAGAGGAAACUCUGACCCAGUCUUUUGAAAGGAGCCUGCCAUUAACAGCUCUUUGCACAUCUCUCAGUAGUGCUAGCUCAGCUAUGCCAGCAGACAUGCUCACUAUGCAGUAGAAAGAGCACAAAUAUGACAUUGACGAUUGUGCUUUUUUUUUUUGCAAACAGAAACAAAUGUGAAUGCAAGUCUGCAGAUGCCUGUCUAUGUGUGUACAACCUUAUUUGCCCGCUGUCCUACAAGUGUUGUGAAUACCUACCAAUAAGGAAUUUGCAAUGAAUAAAUAAGUUGUUGUCGCCAAUAAUAUUUGCCAUUGAUAAAAAUAAAG